This 416-nucleotide ribosomal RNA is filed under the name uncultured bacterium. Its description in RNAcentral is "bacterial SSU rRNA". It matches the Rfam family "Bacterial small subunit ribosomal RNA", at positions 48 to 512 of the family's 1533-position model. The record is from RNAcentral.
GCUACCAUGCAGUCGAGCGAGACCUUCGGGUCUAGCGGCGGACGGGUGAGUAACGCGUGGGAACGUGCCCUUCUCUACGGAAUAGCCCCGGGAAACUGGGAGUAAUACCGUAUACGCCCUUUGGGGGAAAGAUUUAUCGGAGAAGGAUCGGCCCGCGUUGGAUUAGGUAGUUGGUGGGGUAAUGGCCCACCAAGCCGACGAUCCAUAGCUGGUUUGAGAGGAUGAUCAGCCACACUGGGACUGAGACACGGCCCAGACUCCUACGGGAGGCAGCAGUGGGGAAUCUUAGACAAUGGGGGCAACCCUGAUCUAGCCAUGCCGCGUGAGUGAUGAAGGCCUUAGGGUUGUAAAGCUCUUUCAGCUGGGAAGAUACUGACGGUACCAGCAAAAGAAGCCCCGGCUAACUCCGUGCCAGC